CCAAACCUGAGACUGGGUGACUCUUGCCUAGGCUCACAGAUCGAGCCUUCCCAGUGUUGCACUGGGACCCUAGGGUGGCCCUGGGGUGCCCAAGAGAUGCGCAAGCAUCUCGCGCCUUCCAAGCGAUCAGCGAGGAAAAACGGGGUCCAAAUUCGAGUAGAAUCUGCGGGUUGCGGGAAGAUGGCCUGCGAGUGCGGUGGGGGACAAUACCCUAGGGCCCCGUGCGCCCUCGCUUUCCCGGGGCACUCUCACCAUUUGUAGCCUCUGCCGCGCUUGAACUUGAGGGUGAGCGCAGUCUCCAGGAAGAGCAAGAGGUUGAGCAGCGCAAGCAGCCAGUACCGCGGCUCCUUCUUCACCUCGGUCACUCGCCAGACCCCGACCAGCGAGUGCAGCAGGAACAGCAACCGAGUGGCCAGGGCGUUAAGGAAGACCAGUCCCUCCAUGCUGGCCGGAGCACUCUGCCUACGUCCCCUUGCCUGCGCCCCCAGGACCCUGCCGGGCGUGCCCGGAGCCCACCGGUGAGCAGGAAUAUGACAAGCACUGAGACCUGCUGCUGCUUGUGGUCCCUUCUCACCCUCAGCGCCCGAUGCCGGUAGAACUGGUGCGCGGCUCGCCCCUCCCCCAAACUUCCUGAGAACUCUUCAAAGAGGGUUGUGAUUUGAAGAGUAACCUUCUUCAGAAAACUGUGGAGACUUCACAGAAAUGGCAGAAGCUAGUUGAAGUCUACAAAUUACCUAAUGGAACAGGUGUUAUUCCCAUGAGAUUCCCAAAUAAACUUCCUGCAUGCAAAUCUCCAUCUCAGCAUCUGUUUCCCUGAGGAGGAACCAACCUAAAAUGAAUUGCAAAUUAAAAUCUCAAAGUGAGUCAAAGCAACCAGAAUUUCCCUUCCCAAGGAAAGUGCAUUUUUAAAUGAUCAUUGUGGACCACUGUGAAGAUAAUGCAUUGUUGAGAAGACGGAAUUGAAGUUGGAAGCCACUUUUAGGCUAUUGUAAGAGAUGAUGAUGACUUGGACCAUAAAAGCGGCUUUGAAACAAAAAUACACGGGAAAUUAAAGAUGCAGUUUGAAAGGUGCAUCCACUGGAUUCAAUGACUGAUGGGAUGAGAAGGGUGAGGGCAUGUCGGUGAUGAAACUAUCACUACUGUUCAAGGUGCCAGAAGUUUGACUUACCAUCGCUUUUGAACAAUCAUCACUACAUGUCAGCGUGGGAAAAAGAAUAAAAUAACAUCUUAAUAUUAUUAUGAAAA
Homo sapiens (human) is the source of this 1245-nucleotide long non-coding RNA. RefSeq annotates it as TMEM26 antisense RNA 1. Lineage: Eukaryota; Metazoa; Chordata; Mammalia; Primates; Hominidae. The record is from RefSeq and is marked validated. The transcript has 6 exons.